Long non-coding RNA from Homo sapiens (human), 428 nucleotides. RefSeq lists it as uncharacterized. The record is from RefSeq and is a predicted model, not a curated record. The transcript has 2 exons. Lineage: Eukaryota; Metazoa; Chordata; Mammalia; Primates; Hominidae.
GUUUUGGGGGUGAUGGUGGCAAGAGAAUGGCCAUUUUUAACAGAAAGAGGAUGCAGAUCUCAUUUUUAUUUGGAGGAUGCAGAUCACAUUUUUCUGUCUGUUCACAUCACAGGUAUGGACUAACAACACUCUAUGUGGCCUAAAAACCAACCAAAUCAAGUUUCUAUCAAGGCAGAAGAGGCAGGACAGCCAAGGAAUUGAGCAUAAAGGACACUCUACUGUGAGAGCUAGCCUUGAUUUGACAUGUGUCAGGAAACAUACGACCUCAAACAAUCUUCAUACACAAUGAAGAGAUAUAAGAAGAUUUGGUAAUCCAGGAAGUCUCGAAAGUUCUUCAGAAAUGUUUAACCUAUUUCAAAAAUUUUCAUUACUCUGCGCACACUAUUCCUCAUUACAGAAAGUGCUCAAUAAACUUCUGUAUGCUCCUA